Molecule: ribosomal RNA, 253 nt
Filed under: uncultured bacterium
Lineage: Bacteria
Description: partial 16S ribosomal RNA
Rfam family: Bacterial small subunit ribosomal RNA
Source: RNAcentral
GACGAACCGUGCAAACGUUAUUCGGAAUCACUGGGCAUAAAGGGCGCGUAGGCGGCUUUCUAAGUCAGGGGUGAAAUCCGGCAGCUCAACUGUCGCAGUGCCUUUGAUACUGGAGAGCUCGAGGGAGGUAGGGGUCUGUGGAACUUCCGGUGGAGCGGUGAAAUGCGUUGAUAUCGGAGGGAACGCCGGUGGCGAAAGCGACGGACUGGAUCUCUUCUGACGCUGAGGCGCGAAAGCCAGGGGAGCAAACGGG